Molecule: ribosomal RNA, 317 nt
Filed under: Gorillibacterium sp.
Lineage: Bacteria; Bacillati; Bacillota; Bacilli; Caryophanales; Paenibacillaceae
Description: bacterial SSU rRNA
Rfam family: Bacterial small subunit ribosomal RNA
Source: RNAcentral
UACAAUGGAGAGUUUGAUCCUGGCUCAGGAUGAACGCUAGCGGCAGGCCUAAUACAUGCAAGACGAACGGCAAGAGAUGUAGCAAUACAUUUCCUAGAGUGUCGUAAGGGUGCGUAACAAGUAUGCAAUCUGCCCUGUACUGGAGAAUAGCUCCCCGAAAGGGGAAUUAACACUCCAUAAGAUCGUAAAGUGGCAUCACUUAGCGAUUAAAACUCCGGUGGUACAGGAUGAGCAUGCUUCUGAUUAGUUAGUUGGUAGUGUAACGGACUACCAAGACGAUGAUCAGUAGGGGAACUGAGAGGUUGAUCCCCCACACU